UUGCGAUGAUUUUGUUUUUCCAGGACAGGAACGAGAAAGUUUGAUAUGUGAAGCCCUCCCGAACAUUCCUAAGGAGUGGACAUUGAAAUGUUUGGUGGAGGUAACUGUCCUGAAGUCCACAUCCGCAGAUAUUGGA
Long non-coding RNA from Rhagoletis pomonella (apple maggot), 136 nucleotides. RefSeq lists it as uncharacterized. The transcript is spliced from 3 exons. The record is from RefSeq and is a predicted model, not a curated record. Lineage: Eukaryota; Metazoa; Arthropoda; Insecta; Diptera; Tephritidae.